UACGUAGGGUGCAAGCGUUUAAUCGGAAUUACUGGGCGUAAAGCGUGCGCAGGCGGUUUUGUAAGUUUGUCGUGAAAUCCCCGGGCUCAACCUGGGAAUGGCGAUGAAGACUGCAAGGCUAGAGUUUGGCAGAGGGGGGGUAGAAUUCCACGUGUAGCAGUGAAAUGCGUAGAUAUGUGGAGGAACACCGAUGGCGAAGGCAGCCCCCCUGGGUCAAAAACUGACGCUCAUGCACGAAAGCGUGGGGAGCAAACAGG
RNAcentral lists this ribosomal RNA (257 nucleotides) under uncultured bacterium. RNAcentral describes it as "partial 16S ribosomal RNA". It matches the Rfam family "Bacterial small subunit ribosomal RNA", at positions 524 to 776 of the family's 1533-position model. The record is from RNAcentral.